UGUCAUGGCUACCCAAGCUAAAUAGAAUUGGUUGGAGAACCUAUCCAGUUACAAUUACAAUGUAAUACGGCCCUUCUCUAAUACAAUACUCUUAAUUACAUUGUUUGAGUGAUAGUUUGUAUCAUGUCUACUAUCCAAUGUGAUACUUCUCUAUAUGAUUCAAUUGAAUAUGAUUUGGAGCAUACUUCCUAAGUCAUAUUCGUAUUCUUUGGCCAAAGACUCCCGAAUCAUACCUUAAAGUAUUCUCCUUCCACCAUGGAAGGUUAGAAAUUCCUUGUUGUGCAUUCAUAUGCCUACAUGACUAGAUAGCUUGACCCCAACAAUGUCGUGGACACUCUCGAUGGAAUGCCUUUGACAUGAUCAAAGAUUAAGGACCUAACCAUUAGACAUCUAUGUUGCCUCAGGUCAAAGGACUACUUUGCAUAUUGCAACUUACGAGUUCUUACAUGACAUGUAUGUUCGAACUCUCUUUUUAUCGUUGUUCAGUGUACUCGAUUACUCUUUCAAGCACCUAUGUGUUUGUCAUAGUGUCCAACACUAAAUGACUUGAGACUAGUCAUACUCACGCUUGAGUUGACAUAACACAUACUAACCUUAGCGGAUUGGCAAUGCCCAAUUGGCAAUCCUAUGGCUAGGAACGUUUUAGGAAUGAACAUAAGAGAAAGGUCUCGUUAAUCUAACUUAUUUAAAUCACUUCUCUCUUAGAUCAAAUACAUUCCUUGGAUUCCCUUAUUGCUUAAACACACAAUAAAUAGUGAUUAACAAUAAGCUUUGCCCUUCAUUAAACAUAUAAUAGUUUAAUACAAUAAGUAUUCCAAAAGCUAUUACAUCAAAUGAGUGGCUUUGUGGGCAUACUUCCAACAAUCUCCCACUUGCACUCAAAGCCACCUUCCCAUGUAUCUAAUACCCAUCUUUUCCAUAUGGCGGUCAAGUUGGAUUUGAGACAUUGGCUUUGUUAGUGGAUCUGCUACGUUAUCGGCUGAGGCAACCUUGAGGAUGUUGACUUUCCCCUCGGCAGCAUAUCUUCUAUUGAUAUUAAAGGGCCUGUCAAAAUGCUUGUUCUUUUGAUGAGCCCUGGGUUCCUUGGCUUGAGUUAUUGCCCCACUAUUAUCACAGUAUAAAGUUACUGGUAAUGUAAUGGUUGGAACCACUCCAAGUUCAGUAAUGAACUUCUUCAUCCAGAACACUUCUUUGCCGACUUCAGGUGCAGCGACAUAUUCUACCUCCGUCAUGGAAUCAGCAAUUACAUCUUGUUUCUUGCUUUUCCAGCUAACAGCCUCACCAUUCAAAGUGAAUACAUAUCCGGAGUUGGAACUUCUAUCAUCGACUUCAGAUUGGAAAUCUGCGUCUGUAUAAGCUUUCACUCGUAACUCUGUUGCUCCUCUAUAAACGAGGAACAUGUCCUUAGUUCUUCUUAAGUACUUAAGAACCGUUUUGACAGCUGCCCAGUGUUCUGAUCCUGGGUUAGAUUGAUAUCGACUAGUAAUGCUCACAGCAUAUGCGAUAUCAGGCCUUGUGCAUAUCAUGGCAUACAUGAGACUUCCUAUGGCAGAAGCAUAAGGAAUAGCACUCAUCUACCGUAUCUCUUCAGGAGUUUUAGGUCCCAUGGACUUAGAAAGGUGAAUUCCAUGUCUCACAGGAAGAAGACCUUUCUUAGAUUGUUCCAUCUGGAACUUACUUAGCAUCUUAUCUAUGUACACAGAUUGGGAUAAUCCAAUUAAUUUUCUGGAUCUAUCACGAUAGAGCUUUAUCCCAAGUACAUAAGAUGCAUCUCCCAAAUCUUUCAUGUGGAAGGUUUUGGACAACCACACUUUUACAGAAGAAAGUACUGCAGUGUCAUUCCCGAAUAGUAAUAUGUCAUCUACAUAUAACACUAGGAAUACAACUGCAUCCCUAACGACCUUUUGAUAAACACAAUUUUCGUCUUUGUUUUGAGUAAAACCAAACGUUUUGAUUUCAGUAUCAAAACGAAUGUUCCAGCUCCUAAAGGCUUGCUUAAGUCCAUAAAUGGACCUUUGAAGCUUGCAUACCUUAGUCCUUUCAGACUUGGACACAAAACCUUCAAGUUGAGUCAUAUAGAGCUCUUCCUCUAGGUAGCCAUUCAGAAAGGCCGUUUUCACGUCCAUUUGCCAUAUCUCAUAAUCAUGGUACGCAACUAUAGCAAGCAAAAUCCGAAUGGACUUAAUCAUGGCUACAGGAGAGAAGGUUUCUUCAUAGUCAAUCCCUUCUCUUUUCCUGUAACCCUUGGCUACGAGUCUGGCCUUAUAAGUUUCCACGUUCCCUUCAGCGCCUAUCUUCCUCUUGAAGACCCAUUUGUUUCCAACGGGUAUUAUACCUUCUGGAGGGUCUACAAGAGUCCAGACCUGCUUUUGAUACAUGGAAUCCAUCUCGAAUUUCAUGGCCUCUUGCCAUCUCUUUGAAUCAAUGUCGGACAUUGCUUCAGUGUAGUCUCUAGGGUCUUCCUUUGUGUCAUUGUCACCUAGAAGGUGCAAUUCCCCAAAGUCAUUAUCUAAGCCAUACCUCUUAGGUGGCUUGCUAACCCUUUCAGAUCUAUGUGGAGCUAGGGGUUCAGGAACAGGGUUGUCAACUUGUCGAGUGCUUGUUUGUGGUUCAUCAUUAAUCUCAUUAAUUUCCAUUGUUUUACUUAUAGUUCAUUUGAGAACAAAUUCGUCCUCUAGAAACUUAGAAGUUCUGGCGACAAAAACCUUUUGAUCGUCAGGAUGGUAGAACUCAUAUCCCAUAGUUUCUCUAGGAUAUCCCACAAAAUAGCACUGAUCUCGCUUCAAGCUUAGUAGCUUCAAGCUUCUUGACAUAUGCUUCACAACCCCAAAUCUUAAUGUGAUUACGACUUGGCUUUCUUCCAUGCCAUAUCUCAUAGGGCGUCUGUGAAACUGACUUGGAAGGUACUCUAUUAAGCAAGUAAGCUGCUGUAUAUAGAGCGUAUCCCCAGAAUGUUACUGGUAGAUCUGCGGAACUCAUCAUAGAACGAACCAUGUUUAUCAAGGUUCGAUUUCUCCUUUCAGAAACUCCAUUAAGUUGUGGAGUUCCCGGUGGAGUCCACUGUGAUAUUAUUCCACACUCUUUGAGAUAAUCUAGGAACUCGGUACUUAGAUACUCUCCCCCUCGAUCUAAUCUUAGGAUCUUUAUCUGUUUCCUAGUUUGCUUCUCAACUUCAUUCUUGAAUUCUUUGAACCUUUCAAAGGAUUCUGACUUGUACUUCAUAAGAUACACAUAGCCAAACCGAGAGUGAUCGUCGGUGAAUGUGAUAUAGUAGGAGAAGCCUCCUCUCGACGUAGUAGACAUAGGUCCACAUACAUCAGUGUGGAUUAACCCUAGAAUUUCAGUGGCACGCUCUCCUUUCCCAGUGAAUGGAGAUUUGGUCAUCUUCCCUUUUAAGCAACAUUCAGAAGUACCCAUUUGGUCAUUACCUAAUGGGCGGAAAUAUCCGUCUUUCGACAUCUUGCGAAUCUUAUCAAGGUUCACAUGUCCAAGUUUAAGAUGCCACAUCUUUUCUCGGUUAACUUCUUCUCUAGCCCUUUUGGGUUUUGAGGUAUUCUCGUUUUCAAUACAGUGCAUCCCACUACUUGUCUCUAGGUGAAAAAGUCCCUCUAUCAUAUUACCAUGAGAGAUAAUACGACCGUUCAAGUAUAAAAUGCAACUCAUUUUGUCAAACAAUAUUGAGUGCCCAUCUCGUAAAAGCUUAGAGAUAGAAAUCAAAUUCUUUAUACAUGAAGGAAAAUAUAAACAAUUUUUAAGUUCCAAGACUUCCCCAGAGGGCAGUUUAAGCAUGUAGGUGCCUAUUGCUUUAGCAGUGAUCUUAGUGCCGUUCCCAACUCGCACAAUCAUCUCCCCAUUGCGCAAUGUUCUGCUCCCUGUUAGUCUCUGCAACGAAUUGCAAAUAUGUUAACUAGCACCUGAAUCAAAUAUCCAUGAAUUGGAGCUCAUUGUAAAAGCACUCUCUAUGAUAGAAAUAGUCCCUUCAAAAGUUCGUGUCAUAAGGCUCGCAAUGCGCACCCUAUAUUUCUUCUUCCAACGUUCAUCCUUUCCACAAUGAAAUCAUGUUCCUUUGGAUUUUAUUGCCUUCUUCUUAUGUAACCUUUUCCUUGUGAUUGCAGUCUCACUCCCACUGUCCUUUUUGAAACCUUGUUCAAACUUACAUCACAUGUCCAUCAUCUCGGUAAAAGUAUGAUUGAAUCUAUUCACUUUAUAGUUUACAAUAAACUUAGUGAAAUCAUCCGUGAGAGAUGCAAGGAAAAAGUCUUGGGCCAUUUUCCCAUCGAUGGAAGUUCCUAAAAUUUCAAGAUCUUGAAAGAUCCUUUCCAUCUUUUGUCCAUGUUUUUGGACCUGAAGGAAAAAUUUUGUCCUAGCUAAAGAACAAGUAAGAGCAUUUGAAUACAUAUGCAAACUAUUAACACAUUAAAGUAGGCAUGCAUUCAAAAACAAUUCAUAAAACCCAUGACUUUCAAAGCCUAGUAUAUGGUGAACCAAUAAACUCUUUAACAACAUUAAAGAGAAGGAAAGAUUUAGAGUUUCUUUACCCUUGAAGCUCAUCCUUGAUUACACAAGGGAUUCACCCAAGUAGAGGGCCUUCAAGUCACCUCCUUGCUUCUUGGAUCUUCCUUGUGAUUUUCCUCCUUUUAGUGCUCCUUUGCUUCUUUGAGGAUUUGAGGAUUUGUUCUCCAAAACAUCAAAAGCUUGAUGUCUCUAAGUCUCUUCACCAAGGAUGUGAUGUGAAGAUGAAAUGGAUGACUUAGGGAAGAAGAGAUUGCUAGCUAUUCCUUCCCUAGGUGGCCGGCCUCUUUUGAGAAAAUGAGAGAAAAUGUUUCACCUCAUUUCACCAAGAAAAACCCUAAAUGAAAAUAAAGCUAUAAAGUUGAAUUUAUACUUCAUCACAUGUGAGUGGCAAACUUGUAAUUAAUCCAAGUUUGACACUUCUCACCCUAAUGGCCGGCCAUAUCAAAUUGAUUAGCGAGGUAGUGGGCGAUUGUUACUCUUAACGAUCGAUUGUGAAUUGAAACUACAUUUCAAUUCUCCCUUAAAAUUAGUGUUUGCUAAUCUUUAGGGCUUCCACAAACCAUGAGUGACACCUAGUAGCAUAUCAUGGUUACCCAAGCUAAGUAGAAGUGGUUGGAGAACCUAUCCAGUUACAACUACAAUGCAAUACGGUCCUUCUCUAAUACAAUACUCUUAAUCACAUUGUUUCAGAUUAUAGUUUGUUUCAUGUCUACUAUCCAAUGUGAUACUUAUCUAUAUGAUUCAAUUGAAUAUGAUUUGGAACAAACUUCCUAAGUCAUAUUCAUAUGCUUUGGCCAAAGACUCUCGAAUCAUAUCUUAGAGUAUUCUCCUUCCACCAUGGAAGGUUAGAGAUUCUUUGUUGUGCAUUCAUAUGCCUCAUGACUAGGUAGCUUGACCACAACAAUGCCGUGGACUCUAAUGGAAUGCCUUUGACAUGAUCAAAGAUCAAGGACCUAACCAUUAGACAUCUAUGAUGCCUCAGGUCAAAAGACUACUUUGCAUAUUGCAACUUUCGAGUUCUUACAUGACAUGUAUGUUCGAACUCUCUUUUGAUCGUUGUUCAGUGUACUCGAUCACUCUUUCGAGCACCUAUGUGUUUGCCUUAGUGUCCAACACUAAAUGACAUGAGACUAGUCAUACUCACGCUUGAGUCGACAUAACACAUACUAACCUUAGCGGAUUGUCAAUGCCCAAUUGGCAAUCCUAUGGCUAGGAACGUUUUAGGAAUGAACAUAAGAGAAAGGUCUCGAUAAUCUAACUUACUUAAAUCACUUAUCUCUUAGAUCAAAUACAUAACUUGGAUUCCCUUAUUGCUUAAACACAUGAUACAAUAAAUAGUGAUUAACAAUAAGCUUUGCCCUUCAUUAAACAUAUAAAAGUUUAAUACAAUAAGUAUUCCAAAAGCUAUUACAUCAAAUGAGUGGCUUUGUGGGCAUACUUCCAACAGGACCGAUGCCCCCUUUGCCAUUUUGGCAUUCUAUAGAUUACAAACAUUUGAGAAUCGUACGUUACUAGUCUCAAUGUCAUGCAUCUUAUGCAAACUAUCAACCAUGGCACAAGAAGUGUCCAUGUGCUCAUGUAGCUUCUUAAGCUCCUCACUAAGUGAAGUGAGGAUUAAGCAUUUGGCUUGUAAGUCAUCCUCAUAGUGUCUUGCAUAAUUUUGACACUCCUCCUUUGAAGAUAGUUUCAUAGGAGGUACAUGAGGAGGGGAUUGCUUAAGCACAUACAAUAUGUCUUUCACCUGAGACAUUCUCAAUGUGGCGAUACCAAGCAAGGAAACGUUGGCCCCUAAGGCCCCUUUUGUCAAAUAUAAUGGUGGGUGUAAUUUUAGGCAUGUCGUUAACUACAUAACAUAACAGAAAUCGUAUUAGAUUGUUGAUUUUAAAACUACUUGAUUGGGUCUUAAAUCAAAUAGUACCACCCACUAUUUUUGGCAAAUUCCACAUCCCUCAAUGGAAUUCGAGAGUUAUUUUGAACUCUUAGCGGGGUAUGGGAGGCUCACCAUUACCAAGCCCACCUCACGAUGAUACGAUGUUGGUUAGCAAAAAUAAUGAUGAGAGAAUAACGCUUUAGUCAUUUACAACUCUUGUAAUUACCCAUCUAGUUUGGCCUCUAGAGAAUGAUGACUCACAAUGAUAUGAUGUUGGCACCAUUGCACUUAGUUAAGUUAUUCCCACCAUGCUAGUUCGUGUAGGGGUUCAAGAAUAGCCUCACAAUGAUAUGAUGUCGGCCAUCCUCGUUACCUACCUCACCACAUCAUGUAUGUUCAUAUGGACUCCUCCUGAAUGUAAGUACAUACUUUGAACUUCCCCAUGAUAGGGUGAAGCCGGUGUACGAGUCACAAACGAUUGGAGCCCAUCAUGGUGGAAGGCCUACGAAGAGAUGUUCAAAGCAUCUCUCGCUUAUCAACUUAAUAUUCAUUUUGUUGAGGGAAUUGUGUUGGGCUACAUCAAUUUUAUUUUAAUCUUAUUAAAAGAACUUGGGCCUAUCACAACCAUUGGUCCAAGUUAAUAUGAAUUAGUAGUAUAUAAUACUCCCACUAUUUCGAGGAAACAAGCGAGACUAUAUGGAACUACUAACGAAUGCAUUGCAUCCUCAUAUGGACUAUAUAGUUAUAUUAGGUCUUAGGAUGAUUAUGAACCGUUUGAUUUGAUCCAACACGAGCCUUGUGUUGGACCUUGGGUUUAAGGUAGAUAGUGGUUGAUUUUAGUUACGCGUUUAAUCUAAUUAAACCGUUAUUUCCUAUUGGGCGUUGGACCCAACUAUUCCAAUUUGCAUACAUAUAAACAAAAAGGAAUACAUGAAAUAAAGAGAAGGGCUUAUGCCAUUUUACAACAAAUUAGAAGGACUUAUGUCCUUUUACAACAAAUUUGAACUAAUCAAAUUACAUUCAAAUCUAAACUACUUAACCCAAACAUUCACAAUGUAAAGCGGCCAAUCACAUAGCUCAAUUAUCGAAGCCUUUGGUUCAUAAUCACCCUUUUCUUAAUCAAUCAAAUUAACUAAGAAAGCAACUUAAACAAUUGAUUUUCGGAUUCAUAGAAUUGAUUUAAAUGGAACUAAAUGAAAUGAAAAUCCAAUUCUUAUUAAAGAGACAAAACCAUUUUGUUGUCAUCAUCUUUUGGGCCGAAAAACAAUGACCACAACAAUUGGGCCAUAAGGUUAAAACAUAAACUUUUGGGGUCACUUUGUAAAAACACAAGAGUCCACAACUUCAUGUAAUUACAACUCGAACCCAAAAAUUUCAACAAUAGCAAAAACUUCAUUAAAGGAGCAAAACAAUUUGUCCUUUAGUGUUUUUGGGCUUUAACGAAAAAUGUAAACUUUUGGGCCAAAGUACAAAUACACAAAAGUAUCAAAACUUUAUGUAAUUGCAUAAAAGGCCCCAAAAGUACCCCCAUUAAGGGGUGGCCGGCUUUGGUAGUGAAAAAGGAGGGGGAAAAGGUUUUGGUGAAAAAUUCAAAAUUUGAAAGUGUUUUGUGCAAGUGGAUAGGUAGGUGAGGAAAAGUUGAUUGGUAUAGGUUGUAAGAAAAAGUUUUGUCAAACAAUAAAGACAUAAAUCAUCUAUCACCAAUCAUCCAUCACCAAUUAAUUAUAAACCAAAACUUUAUGAAAAACACCAAACAUUUUGAAUCAAAACUCCAAACCUUUUUGUUCUUGGUAAGAACAUCAAGAAUAUUGAAGAACACACAUGAAAACUCAUAAGAGCUCCAUGAAUAUUUUCACACAAUAAAACUCAAAUUUUCACUACACAAAAGAGGGUUAACAUCCUAGGGUACUUAGGGGUUCCAAAAAUCACUUUAAAACUCUUUUAACAAGACAAACAUGAACCUAAAAAUCCACAUUUUGGAUUUGGCCGAAUUUCCCAAAAUACAUGGCACCAAAUUUUAGUUCUAAUAUUCAUGCUUAAAUGAACUACAUCUACAACAUUUGAGAUGCUAAAUUUUCAAGCAAAAUUUAUAUUCAAAAGCAAGAACAAAGCUUGUAACAUUUACAACAUCUAAAUCACAAACCAUGAAAAAACACAAAACCCAAAAGGAUUCACCAUAAACUAGACCUAGGCUCUUGAUACCACUUGAAGGAAAAAAUUUGUCCUAGCUAAGAACAUGUGAGAAUAUUUGAACACAUAUGCAAACUAUUAACACAUUAAAGUAGGCAUGCAUUCAAAAACAAUUCUAAAACCCAUGACUUUCAAAGCCUAGUGAAUAGUGAACCACAAGACUCUUUAACAACAUUAAAGAGAAAGAAGGUUUUAGAGAUUCAUUACCCUUGAAGCUCAUCCUUGUUUACACAAGGGAUUCCCCCAAGUGGAGGGCCUUCAAGUCACCUCCUAGCUCCUUGGAUCUUCCUUGUGAUUUUCUUCCUUUUUGAUGCUCCUUUGCUUCUUGAGGAUGUGAGGAAAGGAUCUCCAAAAACACCAAAGAUUUGGUGUCUCUAAGUCUCCACACCAAGGAUGAGGUGUGAAGAUGAAAUGGAUGACUUAGAGCAUAAAAGAUUGCUAGCUAUAUCUUCUCUAAAUGGCCGGCCUCCUUUAGAGAAAAAGAGAGAAAAUGUUUCUUAUCUUUGCCUCUAGAAAACCCUAAUGAGGUAAAAGCUAUAAAGAUGCUUUUAUAUCUCUUUUCUUAGGUGAGUGACAAACUUGCAAUUAAGCAAAACUUACCACUCCCUCACUAUGGCCGGCCUCUUUUAAGUGAUUGGGCUAUUUGCCCAUGUUUGUUUUAGUUGUCAUACAACUUAAACAUAAUGGGCCUAGUGGACCAAACCCUUUUGGACCCCGAAGCCCAAAACUAACUUAAAAGCCCAAUACGAACCUUUCGUAUAAUUAAUUAACUAAUUAAUUAACCUUGACCAUAUUUCAAUUAAACCAUUUAAUUUCUUAUCCAUUUCAUUUAUAUUUCUUCACUUUCAUCCUUACUCGGUGUACGAUCCAUUAGGUUCCAAUUAGCGAGGCAGUGGGCGAUUGUUACUCUUAACGAUCGAUUGUGAAUUGAAACUACAUUUCAAUUCUCCCUUUGAUCAAGAUUAGUGUUUGCUAAUCUUCAGGGCUUCCACAAACCAUGAGUGACACUUAGCAGCAUGUCAUGGCUACCCAAGCUAAAUAGAAUUGGUUGGAGAACCUAUCCAGUUACAAUUACAAUGCAAUACGGUCUAAUACAAUACUCUUAAUCACAUUGUUUGAGUGAUAGUUUGUAUCAUGUCUACUAUCCAAUGUGAUACUUCUUUAUAUGAUUCAAUUGAAUAUGAUUUGGAACAUACUUCCUAAGUCAUAUUCGUAUGCUUUGGGCAAAGACUCCUGAAUCAUAUCUUAGAGUAUUCUCCUUCCACCAUGGAAGGUUAGAGAUUCCUUGUUGUGCAUUCAUAUGCUUACAUGACUAGAUAGCUUGACCCCAACAAUGUCAUGGACACUCUCGAUGGAAUGCCUUUGACAUGAUCAAAGAUCAAGGACCUAACCAUUAGACAUCUAUGAUGCCUCAGGUUAAAGGACUACUUUGCAUAUUGCAACUUAUGAGUUCUUACAUGACAUGUAUGUUCGAACUCUCUUUUAAUCGUUGUUCAGUGUACUUGAUUACUCUUUCAAGCACCUAUGUGUUUGUCUUAGUGUCCAACAC
RNAcentral lists this long non-coding RNA (10124 nucleotides) under Malus domestica (apple). RNAcentral describes it as "long non-coding RNA (MDOM_LNC018801)". Lineage: Eukaryota; Viridiplantae; Streptophyta; Magnoliopsida; Rosales; Rosaceae. The record is from RNAcentral.